GGGUGAAGAAGGCGGGGCGAAGAAGAUCGCCUCCAAUCAGAGGCGAAGAAGGGGACAUCCUCGGCUCCCCCCCCGCGCCCCUCAGACGCCGACUAUAAGAGGCCCCGCCCGGGUUUCUCAGUGUGCAGCGGGCCGAGCUUAGAGUCGGGGAAGGAGGCUGAACCUCCAAGUGCCCCCUUCACCCUCGGCGCCAGGAGGUGAGGAGAAGCACCAGAGGAGGCGGGAGGAGGAGGAGACUUACAGGUCCUGACCACCCCUGCACCAACUGGACCAAACUGGCCACGGAGAGCACAGCGGCAGAGGUGACAAGCCAGAUGAUACCUCCAGGAGGGAUGCAGUCAAGGGAGCUGCCCCGACGCGGAAGAGGAAGGAGCGAUGGGGGGAUCGAGCCGCCCUGUGGAGACCAGGACACCCUGAGAGAAGAUGGGAGUUGACCAGUCCAUCUGAAAAGAACGGAUAAGUAUCUCCUCAUGGACCAACCCACAGCAACCCAGAAACAUUGGCUGCUAGUAGCGAAUGAUUUGAACCUAGAGACGUCUCUUGCACGUUUUUCGAUUCCAGAUGAAACGGUCUUUGGACCUUUCCUCACAGAAUAUUUCCCCAAUCCAUUUUCCGGGGAAAGAACUCUGGUCAGGAUGUUGCUUUUACCCCUUAAAAUUCAGUCAGAGGAGAGGCGGGAGGUACGGGGAGCCUUUAGUUAUGAAGAAAUAAUAAGGAAAAUAAAAAGAGAGAUUAAAUAGGUAGCACUGCUAGGAAAUGUAAAAAUAGAGGAAAUAACAGAACCGUACUGUGGAUUUCCAAGGGAAAUUUACCUCACGGUUCCUUAAAAAGAAUGAAUAAAAUGCCUUGAGGCAAGGCUCCCUGAUUUAGGGCAGUUCACUCUCCGGACUAUUGGGAUCGGGUUCAUACUCUAGGUGAGGAGGUUUGGAAUAGUGCAAAAAGAGAUAAGAGCAAAUGCUUACACGUAUCCCUUUCACGCUGUGAUUGGGGAAUGAGGUCUGGAAAAGAAUUCCUGCUCUCCCUACUGAAGACUGUGGUGUGGUCUGUGCUCAAACCCCAGUUGAUAUGUUUCAGAGCCUCGACCUGCCUAUUUCUGGAGCACCUCAUCCAGCAGGCAUCCGGACAGGUAGGCAGAGCUGCGGGCUCAGACAUCAGCAGAAGCCGACCCGAGGGAGGUUGGGAAGGACUGGAUGGAAAGAUGCUGGCGGCAGCAGAGGGAUGAAACCAGGAGGGAUGGAUUUGGGGGUGGGAGGAGUGAGUUGUAGAGUUAUUUCUGGGCUCUCCAGAGGGAAGAGUCAGUUGGGAGAACUGGGGGCAGGCUCGCCAUCCCAUGCCACAGGUUGGAGUCCUUGCCUGUGUAACAGCUUUCUAUCUCAAGGUCCGAUGAUCCGUUAAAGAAAGAAAUGCCAGACAGUCACGCAUGCCCCACGGCGUGCCCCUCCUGAAGGACUUCAAGGCCCUUCCCAAGGUUUGACAUCUGUGCAGAUCAGGGGGGCUGCUACUCUGGGCUGGAUCUCCCCUGUUGGAAAACACCUGGAGGAGCAGAGGAUUUUUGUUCCCCACUUAGAGCAAAGAGAGAAUCGGCGUUCGUAGAUCCGGAGGGGGAAAAUCAGGCGAAGGUGCCGCGGACCAAGAAGGACAAUACCCAACGCAACCGCGACGUCCGUCGGAG
Molecule: long non-coding RNA, 1672 nt
Organism: Ornithorhynchus anatinus (platypus)
Lineage: Eukaryota; Metazoa; Chordata; Mammalia; Monotremata; Ornithorhynchidae
Exons: 5
Source: RefSeq, a predicted model, not a curated record